GAUGAACGCUGGCGGCGUGCCUAAUACAUGCAAGUCGAGCGAACAGAUGAGGAGCUUGCUCCUCUGACGUUAGCGGCGGACGGGUGAGUAACACGUGGAUAACCUACCUAUAAGACUGGGAUAACUUCGGGAAACCGGAGCUAAUACCGGAUAAUAUAUUGAACCGCAUGGUUCAAUAGUGAAAGACGGUUUUGCUGUCACUUAUAGAUGGAUCCGCGCCGCAUUAGCUAGUUGGUAAGGUAACGGCUUACCAAGGCAACGAUGCGUAGCCGACCUGAGAGGGGGAUCGGCCACACUGGAACUGAGACACGGUCCAGACUCCUACGGGAGGCAGCAGUAGGGAAUCUUCCGAAAUGGGCGAAAGCUUGACGGAGCAACGCCGCGUGAGUGAUGAAGGUCUUCGGAUCGUAAAACUCUGUUAUUAGGGAAGAACAAAUGUGUAAGUAACUAUGCACGUCUUGACGGUACCUAAUCAGAAAGCCACGGCUAACUACGU
Molecule: ribosomal RNA, 496 nt
Filed under: uncultured bacterium
Lineage: Bacteria
Description: partial 16S ribosomal RNA
Rfam family: Bacterial small subunit ribosomal RNA
Source: RNAcentral